This 253-nucleotide ribosomal RNA is filed under the name uncultured bacterium. RNAcentral describes it as "partial 16S ribosomal RNA". It matches the Rfam family "Bacterial small subunit ribosomal RNA", at positions 524 to 776 of the family's 1533-position model. The record is from RNAcentral.
UACAGGGGGGGCAAGCGUUGUUCGGAAUUACUGGGCGUAAAGGGCUCGUAGGUGGCCAACUAAGUCAGACGUGAAAUCCCUCAGCUUAACUGGGGAACUGCGUCUGAUACUGGAUGGCUUGAGUUUGGGAGAGGGAUGCGGAAUUCCAGGUGUAGCGGUGAAAUGCGUAGAUAUCCGGAGGAACACCAGCGGCGAAGGCGGCAUCCUGGACUGGUCCUGACACUCAUGAGCGAAAGCGUGGGGAGCGAUCCGG